Molecule: transfer RNA, 72 nt
Filed under: Actinomycetota bacterium
Lineage: Bacteria; Bacillati; Actinomycetota
Description: tRNA-Val
Rfam family: tRNA
About the family: Transfer RNA (tRNA) molecules are approximately 80 nucleotides in length. Their secondary structure includes four short double-helical elements and three loops (D, anti-codon, and T loops).
Source: RNAcentral
GGGCGGUUAGCGCAGCGGUAGCGCGCUUCCCUGACACGGAAGAGGUCACUGGUUCGAUCCCAGUACCGCCCA